GUCGCGCNAAUACGUAGAAGACUAGUGUUAUUCAUCUUUAAUAGGUUUAAAGGGUACCUAGAUGGCAGAUAAAGCCCUUGCAUAGCAUGACGGAACUAAUUUGCUAGAGUUACUUACGCGGGGGUUUUAAAGUACUAAUGGUGUAGAGAUAAAAUUUUGUAAUACCAUUUUUCGAAAGAAAAGUUUUGGCACUGGUAAAGGCGAAAGCAUCCCCUUAUGUGAUAACUGACAUUGAAGGACGAAGGCUUUGGAUCGCGAAUAGGAUUAGAUACCCUAGUAGUCGAAGCAGAAAAUUAUGAGUGUCAUAGAUUAGAGGUUAAACUUUAUUCUGUAAAUGAAAGUGUAAGCACUCCACCUCAAGAGUAAUUUGGCAACAUUGGAACUGAAAUCAUUAGACCGUUUCUGAAACCAGUAGUGAAGUAUGUUGUUUAAUUAGAUAAUCCGCUAAAAACCUUACCACAGCUUGAAUGUUUAUAUGUUUCAUAUAUUCACAAGUGUUGCACGGCUGUCUUCAGUUAAUGUCGUGAGACUUUGGUUAGAUCCAUUAAAUUAACGCAAGCCCUUACUUUAUUUUUAAAUAAAGUCGUUCCCCACUAUAUUGGAUAUGAUAACAGGGACUAAGACAAGUCCUCAUGGCCUGAAUGCUGUGGGCUA
This 654-nucleotide ribosomal RNA is filed under the name Biatora bacidioides. RNAcentral's name for it is "SSU rRNA". It matches the Rfam family "Bacterial small subunit ribosomal RNA", at positions 514 to 1216 of the family's 1533-position model. The record is from RNAcentral. Lineage: Eukaryota; Fungi; Ascomycota; Lecanoromycetes; Lecanorales; Ramalinaceae.